Lytechinus variegatus (green sea urchin) is the source of this 173-nucleotide long non-coding RNA. RefSeq lists it as uncharacterized. The record is from RefSeq and is a predicted model, not a curated record. The transcript has 3 exons. Lineage: Eukaryota; Metazoa; Echinodermata; Echinoidea; Temnopleuroida; Toxopneustidae.
CAUACUCGGAGUAAAUUAAAUGACUAAAAAGAGAUCAAAACCUCUGUUUUUUCUUUCAUAUCCAGCAAUAAUGCAUCUUCAGUUCCAUCAUCGUCUCAAAGGCAAGCAUCACUGCAAGAGCACAGUCGUCUCUUUCGGUAUACUUCACGGGCCAUGCACUUGCAACCACCCAA